GAUGAACGCUCGCUCCAGGCUUAACACAUGCAAGUCGAGGGGCAGCGGGAUUGAAGCUUGCUUCAAUUGCCGGCGACCGGCGCACGGGUGAGUAACGCGUAUCCAACCUUCCGUACACUCAGGGAUAGCCUUUCGAAAGAAAGAUUAAUACCUGAUGGUAUGAUGAGAUUGCAUGAUAUCAUCAUUAAAGAUUUAUCGGUGUACGAUGGGGAUGCGUUCCAUUAGGUAGUAGGCGGGGUAACGGCCCACCUAGCCAACGAUGGAUAGGGGUUCUGAGAGGAAGGUCCCCCACAUUGGAACUGAGACACGGUCCAAACUCCUACGGGAGGCAGCAGUGAGGAAUAUUGGUCAAUGGACGAGAGUCUGAACCAGCCAAGUAGCGUGAAGGAUGAAGGUCCUACGGAUUGUAAACUUCUUUUAGAAGGGAAUAAACCCUCCCACGUGUGGGAGCUUGUAUGUACCUUAUGAAUAAGCAUCGGCUAACUCCGUG
Molecule: ribosomal RNA, 490 nt
Filed under: uncultured bacterium
Lineage: Bacteria
Description: partial 16S ribosomal RNA
Rfam family: Bacterial small subunit ribosomal RNA
Source: RNAcentral